RNAcentral lists this ribosomal RNA (423 nucleotides) under uncultured bacterium. Its description in RNAcentral is "bacterial SSU rRNA". It matches the Rfam family "Bacterial small subunit ribosomal RNA", at positions 495 to 917 of the family's 1533-position model. The record is from RNAcentral.
AGCACUGUAGGUGUCAGCAGCCGCGGUAAGACGUAGGGUCCAAGCGUUGUCCGGAUUUACUAGGCGUAAAGAGCGCGUAGGCGGCUCGUUAAGUGUAGAGUGAAAUCUCUGGGCUCACCCCAGAAACUGCUCUGCAUACUGGCGAGCUGGAGGGAUGAAGAGGCUUGUGGAAUUCCUGGUGUAGCGGUGAAAUGCGUUGAUAUCAGGAGGAACACCCAUGGCGAAGGCAGCAAGCUGGUCAUCACCUGACGCUGAGGCGCGAAAGCGUGGGUAGCAAACAGGAUUAGAUACCCUGGUAGUCCACGCCCUAAACGAUGGAUACUAGGCGUAAGGGGUAUCGACCCCCUUGUGCCGCAGCUAACGCACUAAGUAUCCCGCCUGGGGAGUACGGCCGCAAGGUUGAAACUCAAAGGAAUUGACGGG